GACGAACGCUGGCGGCGUGCUUAACACAUGCAAGUCGAACGGUAAGGCCCUUCGGGGUACACGAGUGGUGAACGGGUGAGUAACACGUGGGUGAUCUACCCUGCACUUCGGGAUAAGCAUGGGAAACUGGGUGUAAUACCGGAGAGGACCACUGCCGGCCUGGGUGGUGGGGGAAAGCGUUUGCGGUGUGGGAUGGGGCCGCGGCCUAUCAGCUUGUUGGUGGGGUGAUGGCCUACCAAGGCGACGACGGGUAGCCGGCCUGAGAGGGGGACCGGCCACACUGGGACUGAGAUACGGCCCAGACUCCUACGGGAGGCAGCAGUGGGGAAUAUUGCACAAUGGGCGCAAGCCUGAUGCAGCGACGCCGCGUGAGGGAUGACGGCCUUCGGGUUGUAAACCUCUUUCAGCACCGACGAAGCGCAAGUGACGGUAGGUGCAGAAGAAGGACCGGCCAACUACGUGCCAGCAGCCGCGGUAA
RNAcentral lists this ribosomal RNA (478 nucleotides) under uncultured bacterium. RNAcentral's name for it is "partial 16S ribosomal RNA". It matches the Rfam family "Bacterial small subunit ribosomal RNA", at positions 28 to 523 of the family's 1533-position model. The record is from RNAcentral.